AAUUAUCGGAACUGUGGAAGUCGGAGACGAACGCCCGAGCUUCUACAGCUCCGGCCGACUGUAAAACAACCCCUAGACUCCGAUCUAGGUAUGAACAUGAAAUAGAAGACGAGAGGAACAUUUUUAUAACGUCCGUUUGCCGUGAAACGGCCGGAGGUGUUCGGAAAGUACGACGACACCGACGGCCUCGCCGGAGAUGGGUGUGCCUAUCCCGAGUCGAUUUCAUCCCAAAAACCUUGCAAAAAGACGAGAUAUAACUUCAAUUUCACAUCUAAGCUUCGAUCUAGAACAUAAAAAGAAAAACCCGAAGCUUACCUAACCGGAGAAAUUGAAGGAACUCGCCGGAGCAGGUGCGAUGGUGUGCAUGUAGGUCUCGGUACAGAGAGAAAGGAGAGGUGUAGGUGGGUCUCGAUGCAGAGAGAAAGGAGAGGUCUCGGUGCAGAGAGAAAGGAGAGGUGUAGGUGGGUCUCGGUGCAGAGAGAAAGGAGAGGUGUAAGGGAAAAGUUGAUGGUUUUAAUUGUCAAAACCAUGGGCACUGAUGGUUUUGAUGGACUGGGAAGGAUCUCAAAUAUAUAUUUUAUAU
Molecule: long non-coding RNA, 583 nt
Filed under: Malus domestica (apple)
Lineage: Eukaryota; Viridiplantae; Streptophyta; Magnoliopsida; Rosales; Rosaceae
Description: long non-coding RNA (MDOM_LNC015844)
Source: RNAcentral